Molecule: ribosomal RNA, 468 nt
Filed under: uncultured bacterium
Lineage: Bacteria
Description: partial 16S ribosomal RNA
Rfam family: Bacterial small subunit ribosomal RNA
Source: RNAcentral
GACGAACGCUGGCGGCGUGCUUAACACAUGCAAGUCGAACGGAAAGGCCCUGCUUUUGUGGGGUGCUCGAGUGGCGAACGGGUGAGUAACACGUGAGUAACCUGCCCUUGACUUUGGGAUAACUUCAGGAAACUGGGGCUAAUACCGGAUAGGAGCUCCUGCUGCAUGGUGGGGGUUGGAAAGUUUCGGCGGUUGGGGAUGGACUCGCGGCUUAUCAGCUUGUUGGUGGGGUAGUGGCUUACCAAGGCUUUGACGGGUAGCCGGCCUGAGAGGGUGACCGGCCACAUUGGGACUGAGAGACGGCCCAGACUCCUACGGGAGGCAGCAGGGGGGAAUAUUGCACAAUGGGCGGAAGCCUGAUGCAGAAACGCCGCGUGCGGGAUGACGGCCUUCGGGUUGUAAACCGCUUUCGCCUGUGACGAAGCGUGAGUGACGGUAAUGGGUAAAGAAGCACCGGCUAACUACGUG